UCAGAAAGAAAAUCAAGGAAAUAUAGUUAUGCACACCAAGAACAACUACAUAAGGAUCUCCAAACAAAUUCCAUUCAAAUAAUAUAUAAUAGUGGCCGUUUGCGCUAGUCUCCUUUCAAAUUCAAACCUCAUUUACACUCCCUCUGCUAACCAUUUCGUCUUUACUCUCAUUUCUCAUCUGACACACAACUACAAUCCCAAAGCUUCUUCUAAAAUGUACAAGUUCCAGUCUCCCCUCACUGGGGACCAGAAACUACGUUCAAAAUGUGGCCGGAAACCUCUUCAACCCAAGAACUUCCCGGCCAUUCCAGUAACGGAUAAUAUUGAAAUUCUAAAGCCAAGUGAAGGAUGGAUUGAGAUUUCGGUGGCUAGCGAAUCGAACAAAGAAAACUAUCCGAUCUCUGCCAUCACGCCAACGAAGCUAGUCAUUGAGUCGUUGGAUGUGUCGCUGGCAGCGGAACUGAUAGCCACCAAGAAGGAGAUGGAGAGAUUGAGACUCGACAGAGAGAAAACAGAGAAAAUGUUGAAUGAGAGGGAGAAGGUAUUGGAUUUGCAGAUAAAGGAGCUGGAACAAAGAGGAGAGAUUCAAAAGACGCACGAGAUCGAGGUGGAUAGACUCUUCAGAUUGAAGGAACUACAAUCUUGGUCUAUGAGAAUUUCUCCAAUGCUAUCGCUACGAGAGAAGGAACAUGUGAAGAAGACUGCUCAAGUGCAUUGCCAGGUACAAUUUUUUCCCCUUUUUUGUGGUUUUCGCUCUACCAAAUUCAAACUCGAUUGUUCUCUGCAACGAGCAAAUGAGAUGUUAUUCUAAUGUAUACAGGGAACGAAAGGUGAGGAUAUGGAGGAAUCGGUGAGUGGAAGGGGAGUGAUGAGUCCACUUUUGAGUUCGAGUUCGAGUUCAAAUUCGGUUUCAUCGCAGCUUGCCGCCGUGAAAUGAUGUUUCUCUCUUCCGCAGUUGGCAGUUGACUUUUGGAGAUUAUCUUUGUGAUUUGAUUUUGUCUUGGUUUUUCUCUUUAUGUUACUUCUACAGUAUUCCAUUGUAGAAUUUGGAAAAAGAAAGAAGAUAUUACACUGCCUCUCAAUGUUGAAAUGAUUAGCCGCUCCUGUCUCUUGAGAUUCAGCUGCUGCUACUGUAUCUCAAUGUAGAAUUAUCAAUUACAUAUUGAAAUAGUC
This 1173-nucleotide unclassified non-coding RNA is filed under the name Hevea brasiliensis (rubber tree). The record is from RNAcentral. Lineage: Eukaryota; Viridiplantae; Streptophyta; Magnoliopsida; Malpighiales; Euphorbiaceae.